AAGUCGUAACAAGGUUUCCGUAGGUGAACCUGCGGAAGGAUCAUUAUCGUACAACGGAGGUGCGAGGGCUGUCGCUGACCUUCGAAGGUCGUGCACGCCCGCGCCCUCUCACAAUCCAUCUCACCCUUUGUGCAUCACCGCGUGGGUCCCCUUUGCGGGAGGGCUCACGUUUUCACAUAAAACUCGAUACAGUGUAGAAUGUUUUUAUUUUUGCGAUCACACGCAACAUCAAUACAACUUUCAACAACGGAUCUCUUGGCUCUC
Molecule: unclassified non-coding RNA, 264 nt
Filed under: Russulaceae sp.
Lineage: Eukaryota; Fungi; Basidiomycota; Agaricomycetes; Russulales; Russulaceae
Description: partial contains small subunit ribosomal RNA, internal transcribed spacer 1, and 5.8S ribosomal RNA
Rfam family: Eukaryotic small subunit ribosomal RNA (bases 1-46)
Source: RNAcentral